UGAAUACGAGACGCUAAGGCGUCGAAGUAGUGUAUGUCAUACUUCCAAGAAAAGCUUGCACUGUCAUAGAUAAAAAACGCCUGUACCAUAACCGACACAGGUGGGUAGGUAGAGUAUACUAAGGGGCGCGAGAUAACUCUCUCUAAGGAACUCGGCAAAAUAGCUCCGUAACUUCGGGAGAAGGAGUGCCUUAUUUAUAAGGCUGCAAUAACAAGAUCCAAGCAACUGUUUAUCAAAAACACAGGUCUCCGCUAAGUCGUAAGACGAUGUAUGGGGGCUGACGCCUGCCCAGUGCCAGAAGGUUAAAGAAGUUGGUUAGCUUUUGCGAAGCUGAUAACUGAAGCCCUGGUGAACGGCGGCCGUAACUAUAACGGUCCAAAGGUAGCGAAAUUCCUUGUCGGGUAAGUUCCGACCCGCACGAAAGGCGUAAUGAUUUGGAUACUGUCUCGGAGAGGGGCUCGGUGAAAUAGACUUGUCUGUGAAGAUGCGGACUACCUGCACCAGGACAGAAAGACCCUAUGAAGCUUUACUGUAACUUGAAAUUGAAAUUGGACUUUAUUCGCGCAGCAUAGGUGGGAGGCGUUGAUUAUAAUCUCGUGGGAUUAUUGGAGCCAUCAGUGAGAUACCACUCUUGUAAUGUUAGAUUUCUAACUUUGAAUCAUUAUCUGGUCAAAGAACAGUUUCAGGCGGGCAGUUUGACUGGGGCGGUCGCCUCCUAAACGGUAACGGAGGCGUACAAAGGUUUCCUCUGAACGGUUAGAAAUCGUAUCUAGAGUGUAAAGGCAUAAGGAAGCUUGACUGUGAGACCUACAAGUCGAGCAGGGACGAAAGUCGGUCUUAGUGAUCUGACGGUACUGAGUGGAAAGGCCGUCACUCAACGGAUAAAAGUUACUCUAAGGAUAACAGGCUGAUCUCCCCCAAGAGUUCACAUCGACGGGGAGGUUUGGCACCUCGAUGUCGGCUCAUCGCAUCCUGGGGCGGUAGUACGUCCCAAGGGUUGGGCUGUUCGCCCAUGAAAGCGGUACGCGAGCUGGGUUCAGAACGUCGUGAGACAGUUCGGUCCAUAUCCGGUGUAGGCGUUAGAAUAUUGAGAGGAGCCUUCUUUAGUACGAGAGGACCGAGAAGGACAUACCUCUGGUGUACCAGUUAUCGUGCCAACGGUAAACGCUGGGUAGCUAUGUAUGGAGUGGAUAACCGCUGAAAGCAUCUAAGUGGGAAGCCCACCUCAAGAUAAGUAUUCUCAU
RNAcentral lists this ribosomal RNA (1244 nucleotides) under metagenome. RNAcentral describes it as "bacterial LSU rRNA". It matches the Rfam family "Bacterial large subunit ribosomal RNA", at positions 1564 to 2817 of the family's 2925-position model. The record is from RNAcentral.